RNAcentral lists this ribosomal RNA (1479 nucleotides) under uncultured rumen bacterium. Its description in RNAcentral is "bacterial SSU rRNA". It matches the Rfam family "Bacterial small subunit ribosomal RNA". The record is from RNAcentral.
AGAGUUUGAUCCUGGCUCAGGAUGAACGCUAGCGGCAGGCUUAACACAUGCAAGUCGAGGGGCAGCGGGUCGUAGCAAUACGAUGCCGGCGACCGGCGCAAGGGUGCGUAACGCGUGAGCAAUCUGCCCGUAUCAGGGGGAUAAGCGAUGGAAACGUCGUCUAAUACCGCAUAACACCAAUGAUGGCAUCAUCGUUGGUUGAAAGCUUCGGUGGAUACGGAUGAGCUCGCGAGACAUUAGUUAGUUGGCGGGGUAACGGCCCACCAAGACCGCGAUGUCUAGGGGAACUGAGAGGUUGAACGGCCACAUUGGAACUGAGAUACGGUCCAGACUCCUACGGGAGGCAGCAGUGGGGAAUAUUGGGCAAUGGGCGAAAGCCUGACCCAGCGACGCCGCGUGAAGGAAGAAGGUCUUCGGAUUGUAAACUUCAGUCAACAGGGAAGAUCGUGACGGUACCUGAGGAGGAAGCCCCGGCUAACUACGUGCCAGCAGCCGCGGUAAUACGUAGGGGGCGAGCGUUGUCCGGAAUGGCUGGGCGUAAAGGGCGUGUAGGCGGCCGACUAAGUAUGGAGUGAAAGUCCAUUUUUCAAGGAUGGAAUUGCUUUGUAGACUGGUUGGCUUGAGUGCGGAAGAGGUAAGUGGAAUUCCCAGUGUAGCGGUGAAAUGCGUAGAGAUUGGGAGGAACACCAGUGGCGAAGGCGACUUACUGGGCCGUAACUGACGCUGAGGCGCGAAAGCGUGGGGAGCGAACAGGAUUAGAUACCCUGGUAGUCCACGCGGUAAACGAUGAGUGCUAGGUGUAGCGGGUAUCGACCCCUGCUGUGCCGCAGUAAACACAAUAAGCACUCCGCCUGGGGAGUACGGCCGCAAGGUUGAAACUCAAAGGAAUUGACGGGGGCCCGCACAAGCAGCGGAGCAUGUUGUUUAAUUCGAUGCAACGCGAAGAACCUUACCAGGUCUUGACAUCCAAUUAAGCCCAUAGAGAUAUGGGGUCUCUUCGGAGGAAUUGAGACAGGUGGUGCAUGGUUGUCGUCAGCUCGUGUCGUGAGAUGUUGGGUUAAGUCCCGCAACGAGCGCAACCCUUAUUAUCAGUUACUAACGCGUGAAGGCGAGGACUCUGAUGAGACUGCCGGGGACAACUCGGAGGAAGGUGGGGACGACGUCAAAUCAUCAUGCCCCUUAUGACCUGGGCUACAAACGUGCUACAAUGGCGACCACAAAGAGGAGCGAGCAUGCGAAUGUAAGCGGAUCUCAAAAAAGUCGUCCCAGUUCGGACUGUGGGCUGCAACCCGCCCACACGAAGUUGGAGUUGCUAGUAAUCGCGGAUCAGAAUGCCGCGGUGAAUACGUUCCCGGGCCUUGUACACACCGCCCGUCACACCAUGGGAGUUGGGAGCACCCGAAGCCAGUGAGCCGACCGCAAGGGAGCAGCUGUCGAAGGUGAGACCGAUGACUGGGGUGAAGUCGUAACAAGGUAACC